GACGAACGCUGGCGGCGUGCUUAACACAUGCAAGUCGAACGGAAAGACCCUGCGUUUGUGUGGUGCUCGAGUGGCGAACAGGGGAGUAACACGUGAGUAACCUGCCCCUGACUUUGGGAUAACAUCAGGAAACUGGGGCUCAUACCGGGUAGGAUCUCUUGCAGCAUGGUGGUGGAUGGAAAGUUUCGGCGGUUGGGGAUGGACUCGCUGGUUAUCAGCUGGAUGGUGGGGUAGUGGCUUACCAAGGCUUUGACGGGUAGCCGGCCUGAGAGGGUUACCGGCCACAUUGGGACUGAGAUACGGCCCAGACUCCUACGGGAGGCAGCAGUGGGGAAUAUUGCACAAUGGGCGGAAGCCUGAUGCAGCAACGCCGCGUGCGGGAUGCCGGCCUUCGGGUUGUAAACCGCUUUCGCCUGUGACGAAGCGAGAGUGACGGUAAUGGGUAAAGAAGCACCGGCUAACUACGUG
RNAcentral lists this ribosomal RNA (468 nucleotides) under uncultured bacterium. RNAcentral's name for it is "partial 16S ribosomal RNA". It matches the Rfam family "Bacterial small subunit ribosomal RNA", at positions 28 to 507 of the family's 1533-position model. The record is from RNAcentral.